GUUAUGUCCUUGUCCCACCUGGUAGAAGCUGGGGGACCUCGAACUAGUCCUCACCUUUGCUGGGCCUGACUUUGAGAGGAUUGGAACCUUGCAGGUGAAGGGAGGGGACUUUAUAAACUGUCAGGUGGGUGCGAGAGUCAGUCGCAAUGUUUUCUGUCAUUCCAUAAAUGGAAUUCUAUAUAAUUCUAUAAUUUAAUAAUUGCAGCAAUUGUAAUUGAUGUGGCUGCUCUGCACAGUCCCCCAGAACCAUCUGCACCUGCCGCCGUUGACGCGCAGCCCUGGGCACCAGCUGCAUUGUUGGGGGGGCAGCUUCAGGAAGUCCCCCGAUGGAUGAUGGUGGAGGAGGGGCCCUGGUACUCCAGGGCUGCUUGGGCUCUGCCUUUCCCGGCCAUUCCUUUGUCCACGGCUGACCGUGGCUGAUCGUGGCCCCUCUUGGUGUCCUGGCCUCUCCUGCCCCCAGCCCACAUUCUGUGCCCUUGGCUCUGCCCAAGGUCCUGGUGUGGCAGGGCCAGGCUCUGCUCCGAUGGGCUUAGUCUUUGUUCCUGUGUGGCGGUGACUGGGGAUGUGGCUGGGGUUGGCCUCUGGACUCCCCAGUGCUGAUGUGGGAGAGCUGAAUGGUGGCUGAGAGCUGUCUGUGCCCUGGAUGCCCAGGCUCUGGGCUCUGGAUGAGCUGUCCUGAUCAGGAGGCACCGCCUGCUGCCCGCCAGCCUUGUGGGGUGCAUGUAUCUAAUCCCAUGCCUUAUAUAUGGGUGCUUGGUGCUCUGCAGCUGGCGCUGAGUUGGGAGGCCAGUUCUCAGGGUUGGGACCACACAGGAAUUGGCAGCUGCUCUGUCCUCAAGGAGGUCCCGUUGGUGGGAGUUUGCAGCACAGAAAGAAGGUCAGAAUGACGGCACUGGGUCCUUCUGCUGGAGCCAGGCAGGACAGGAUCCCACCUUCCCCACCGGAGAGCUGGGAAGGCAGGGCCGCCCUGGUCCCAGGCGGCCAGUCACCGGGCAGAUCCAAGCCUGGUUCCCAACUCCACUCUGGCUGCUGGGGCAGCCAUGGGCCACAGUGGCUGCUGUGACAGGUGGGAGUGGGACCUUCAAGAAUCUGCCCUGUGAGAAGCAGCUCACGACGCGGGUACAUUUGGCUGGAGUGGAGACAGGAAAAUGCAUCCACAUCAUGAUCCACUAGAGGGUCCGGUUCUUAGGGCCCCACCAGCUACAGCUAAUGUGAUGGGUAAGUACAUCCCAUGCGAUAUUUGGGAGGUACUUAUCCUAAACAUUACUUGUUGAUCUAGUUAGAUCACCACCAGGUACACAGUAGGCCCUUGUUCAAAGUGAGCUCACCAUCCUCCUGAUCCAGACCUCAUCCUGACAACCCAGAAUGCUUUGGGUUCUAGAGUGUGCCAGAGGGCUCUAGAAGGUUCUAGAAGUUUCCCGAGGACCCAGCUCUGCACAGAGAAUGAAUUGGGGCUUCUCUGAGCACUGACCUUUGCCUGUGACUGCAGGCCUGACUGUGGGUAGAGCAGCUCAGAUCCGAAUGUGGAAAUCGUGCCUCAGUCACCUGGCAGCUAAUUUGGCGCCUGUGGAGUUGCUGGCCUUUGUUCAGUCUCCUCUUCCCAACUGGAGCAGAAGGAGCUUGUGAGGGAAUGGGCUGGAAAUUGGAGGGAAAUGAAGGGGAGUGAACUUAGAAACUCCCAGCCCCACUGCUAAGCGUGCCACUUAAUAGUAUGCAAAUGAGUUAAUAGUCAAACAAUUACCCAGAGUGACUCAUUUACAUGGGCCUUGAGAUGAGGAAGCAGGAGGAGGAUAUGGGGGAGCCACCCAGGAAGGAGCACCUGCAGGUCACUGUGUGCGGCAAGGGGCCUUAGUUAGAGCCACUGGUGUUUAUUGGGCACCUACUAUGUACAAGGGACAGAUGACACCUGACCCCAAGUUGCUAGUGAAGAUGGAGCCCAGGAUCUUCUCAGUACCCACUGGACCUACAGUGAAUGUGGACGGGGUGGGGGGCCUCGCUGUGAGCGUCCAGGGCAGAGUGACGUCUCUGCCUGGAAGUGGGAAGGGUCUCUCGGGUCUUCAAGGGUAGAGGGAGGGGCAUGUCUUCAGGCAGUGGAUCAGGGAGUAAGAGAAGGCUGGAGAGGGGGGAUAUUAAUACUAGGCCCUGAGGUGCCACGUUCAGUCAGGGUUAAGGUUGCGUGGCAAAAUAUAAGAUGCUCAGUUAAAUGUGAAUUUUGGAGAAACAGGGACAUUGCUUCUCCGAAAUUCACAUUUAACUGAGUGCCCUGUAUUUUCAUAAGUCUGAGGAGCAGAGGGCCUUGGUCUGUGUCCUGGGUGGUUCUCACUGGGACCGUGAAGCUACUGGAGGGGGAGUUGAUAGAGAGUGGGGCUGAGCAGGGAGGAGGGGAGAGGCAGGUGCUGGCGCCCAGCGUGGCCAGGCUGAAGCCCAGUGUUUGGCACUGGGGGUGGUACUGGGAGGAGGUAGGUUGGGGGUGCGUGGCCUGCCCUGCGGGGCCUCACUCACUCUGGGUGGGCUCUGAUGCUGCUGUAGAGCACAGAGGAGACCCACUGGGGUCUGGCUGAUGGAAGGAAUAGAGGACAUCGAGUGAAGGUUGGUAUGGGGCCUUAGAAAACAUUCAGCCACGCUUGCGCCCCUCACAUGGGCACCCGCCUGCAGAGGCUGCUGGGUUGGGAGCAGGAUUCCCUUCCAGCUCAGGGGGCCACUUGAGCCUCAGCGGCUUCUGAGGGCUUCAAGAUCCUUUUUCCUUCUUUUGUGUUUGGAGGAAUCACUUUAGCUCUAAUCGAAUGCCACAUAUACUGCUGUGCAGGCUGGUUUCAGCCCUUGAAAUCUUUCUAAACACGCACUGCCAGUCUGAGUUUUCAACAAAUGUUCCUACUCGGCACUGGUCCUCCCCAUACUCGGGGCGUCCCAGCUCGUCUGGUGCCAAAUUAGCUCCCCGUACCCCUUGCCAGGCAUAAUUCGCAGCAGUUAUUAUUCAAAGCCUGUUUUUCAAGAGGCCGCAUCCCCUGCGGUUUGCUGUUUGUGGAUCUACUUGGUGCCUGUGUGUGCGCGUGUGGGUGCACGUGCUUGCGUGUGUGCUCCGAAGUGGCUGCAGAGAGGCAGAUACGAUCACCGUGGCGGAAUCAGGACUGACCCUCCUCCACAUCCAUGAAUCAGGCUGAUUCCAAGCGAAUGAGAUUUUAAUCACCUGUCACUGCUGCCCGCACUUUCUCUAUAUUUAUGAUAAUUUUUGGGUCUUUUUAUUGAAAUCAGUGUUGACUGAAUCAAGUAAUCCUGAUUAGCAAUCUCACUGUACCCAGUCAAGAGUGAAAUGCAUCCCAGCCCCGCUGCUACACUGAGCAUUCUGAAAUUG
Cercocebus atys (sooty mangabey) is the source of this 3352-nucleotide long non-coding RNA. RefSeq lists it as uncharacterized. The record is from RefSeq and is a predicted model, not a curated record. NCBI's taxonomy places the organism in Eukaryota, Metazoa, Chordata, Mammalia, Primates, Cercopithecidae. The transcript has 2 exons.